UACGGGGGGGGCAAGCGUUGUUCGGAAUUACUGGGCGUAAAGGGCUCGUAGGCGGCCAACUAAGUCCGACGUGAAAUCCCAAGGCUUAACCUUGGAACUGCGUCGGAUACUGGAUGGCUUGAAUUCGGGAGAGGGAUGCAGAAUUCCAGGUGUAGCGGUGAAAUGCGUAGAUAUCUGGAGGAACACCGGUGGCGAAGGCGGCAUCCUGGACCGGCAUUGACGCUGAGGCGCGAAAGCUAGGGGAGCAAACGGG
This 253-nucleotide ribosomal RNA is filed under the name uncultured bacterium. Its description in RNAcentral is "partial 16S ribosomal RNA". It matches the Rfam family "Bacterial small subunit ribosomal RNA", at positions 524 to 776 of the family's 1533-position model. The record is from RNAcentral.